Molecule: ribosomal RNA, 497 nt
Filed under: uncultured bacterium
Lineage: Bacteria
Description: partial 16S ribosomal RNA
Rfam family: Bacterial small subunit ribosomal RNA
Source: RNAcentral
GAUGAACGCUGGCGGCGUGCCUAAUACAUGCAAGUCGAGCGAACAGACGAGGAGCUUGCUCCUCUGACGUUAGCGGCGGACGGGUGAGUAACACGUGGAUAACCUACCUAUAAGACUGGGAUAACUUCGGGAAACCGGAGCUAAUACCGGAUAAUAUAUUGAACCGCAUGGUUCAAUAGUGAAAGACGGUUUUGCUGUCACUUAUAGAUGGAUCCGCGCCGCAUUAGCUAGUUGGUAAGGUAACGGCUUACCAAGGCAACGAUGCGUAGCCGACCUGAGAGGGUGAUCGGCCACACUGGACCGGAGACACGGUCCAGACUCCUACGGGAGGCAGCAGUAGGGAAUCUUCCGCAAUGGGCGAAAGCCUGACGGAGCAACGCCGCGUGAGUGAUGAAGGUCUUCGGAUCGUAAAACUCUGUUAUUAGGGAAGAACAAAUGUGUAAGUAACUAUGCACGUCUUGACGGUACCUAAUCAGAAAGCCACGGCUAACUACGUG